GAUGAACGCUGGCGGCGUGCCUAAUACAUGCAAGUCGAGCGAACAGAAGAGGUGCUUGCUCCUCUGACGUUAGCGGCGAAAGGGUGAGUAACACGUGGGUAACACACCUAUAAGACUGGGAUAACUUCGGGAAACCGGAGCGAAUAACGGAUGCUAUAUUGACAUGAAUGGUUCAUUAGUGAAAGACGGUUGUGCUGUGACUUAUAGAUGGACCCGCGCCGCCUUAGCUAGGUGGUAUGGUAAGGGGUUACCAAGGCAACGAGGCGUAGCCGACCUGAGAGGGUGGAUCACCACCCGAGAAGUGAGACACGGUCCCGACUUCUGCAGGGAGCAACAGUAGGGAAUCUUACGCAAUGGAGGAAAGCCUGACGGUGCAACGUGGGGUGAGCGAUGAAGGUCUUCGGAUCCUAAAACGCAGAUAUAUGGGAAGAACAAAUGUGUAAGUAACUAUGCACGUCUUGACGGUACCUAAUCAGAAAGCCACGGCUAACUACGUG
RNAcentral lists this ribosomal RNA (497 nucleotides) under uncultured bacterium. Its description in RNAcentral is "partial 16S ribosomal RNA". It matches the Rfam family "Bacterial small subunit ribosomal RNA", at positions 28 to 507 of the family's 1533-position model. The record is from RNAcentral.